AUACGGAGGGUGCAAGCGUUAAUCGGAAUUACGGGGCGUAAAGCGUGCGUAGGUGGUUUGUUAAGUUAGAUGUGAAAGCCCCGGGCUCAACCUGGGAACUGCAUUUGAAACUGGCAUACUAGAGUAUAGGAGAGGAAAGUGGAAUUUCAGGUGUAGCGGAGAAACGCGUAGAUAUCUAAAGGAACAUCAAUGGCGAAGGCAGCUUUCUGGACUAAUACUGACACCGAGGUACGAAAGCGUGGGUAGCAAACAGGAUUAGAAACCCCAGUAGUCC
Molecule: ribosomal RNA, 274 nt
Filed under: uncultured bacterium
Lineage: Bacteria
Description: partial 16S ribosomal RNA
Rfam family: Bacterial small subunit ribosomal RNA
Source: RNAcentral